GGAGGCUGCAAGGACUCGGCAGAGGUGCUGCUCACCAGCAGGGCUGGGAGAGGAUGGAAUCCUCGAAGUCAUUGAUGGCAUUGCUCUCCCAGUUCACUCUCACUCCCAGCAGCGUGGAGGGCAGGAACCCCUGCUCAGCAUAGACGGUGAAAUAGGUGACGAAGGCCCCCACUGACUGCAUGAUUCCUGCAGAAACAAAGGGGCAGGAAUGAGGAAAAACCGAAAUUAAGGAGCGCUGGCGGAUGUGCUGGAUGCAUGAAACAUGCUGAAGUGAAUCAGCUUGAGUCUUGCUUUGCUGACACGAGAGAGCGUUGGGGAGGCCAACCCACCGAUCUGCAGCUGCAGGAUAAAGCCUCAAAAUCCCCUGGAUUUUUUCCUGGGUGUGCCUCCACCCCCAGCCCCUCUCCCUGGCAGGAUAUUCCAGCAGGAAAUGCCUUUGAAGCUCCCAACUCACGAUGUCCGUGCCCAGGUCGAUGAAGAGGAUGGUGAUGGUGCCAAUGGGCAUUGGGAUGCUGGCAAUGAUGUAGAUGAGGAAGGGGCAGAGCUCAGCAAUGUUCUUGGUCAGGGUGUAGGCAAUGGUUUUCUUCAGGUUGUCAAAAAUCAGGCGGCCUGGGGGAAGAGAAAAUUCUUCUGUUAAAGGGAAUUUUUAUCAGAAAAAAUGUUUAAAUUUAACUAAAUGAAAUGGAAACAUUUACUGCU
Lonchura striata (white-rumped munia) is the source of this 699-nucleotide long non-coding RNA. RefSeq lists it as uncharacterized. Lineage: Eukaryota; Metazoa; Chordata; Aves; Passeriformes; Estrildidae. The record is from RefSeq and is a predicted model, not a curated record.